This 478-nucleotide ribosomal RNA is filed under the name uncultured bacterium. RNAcentral's name for it is "bacterial SSU rRNA". It matches the Rfam family "Bacterial small subunit ribosomal RNA", at positions 28 to 507 of the family's 1533-position model. The record is from RNAcentral.
GAUGAACGCUGGCGGCGUGCCUAACACAUGCAAGUCGAGCGUGAACCCUGCGAAUGAAACUUCGGUCGAUUUUGCAGGAGGAAAGCGGCGGACGGGUGAGUAACGCGUAGGUAACCUGCCCCAUACUGAGGGAUAGCCUCGGGAAACCGGGAUUAAUACCUCAUAACACCGUUUGUUCGCAUGGACGAACGGUCAAAGAUUUACCGGUAUGGGAUGGGCCUGCGUCUGAUUAGCUGGUUGGUGGGGUAACGGCCUACCAAGGCGACGAUCAGUAGCCGACCUGAGAGGGUGAUCGGCCACAUUGGAACUGAGACACGGUCCAAACUCCUACGGGAGGCAGCAGUGGGGAAUAUUGCACAAUGGGCGAAAGCCUGAUGCAGCAACGCCGCGUGAGCGAAGAAGGCCUUUGGGUUGUAAAGCUCUGUCGGGUAGGAAGAUAAUGACGGUACUACCCGAGGAAGCCCCGGCUAACUACGUG